This 1410-nucleotide long non-coding RNA is filed under the name Marmota monax (woodchuck). Lineage: Eukaryota; Metazoa; Chordata; Mammalia; Rodentia; Sciuridae. The record is from RNAcentral.
CCCUCCUCCGGCCACCCCGCGCCACUGCAGGGACCUGGGAGACGCCGGGCACGCGCGUUUCCCCCCGGGCGCGCCCCCGCCUGUCCCCGCUGGGGCUCCCCAAGGGGUGCAGGCGGCGAGCGCGACCCCCUGGCCGAGAUCUUCCGGCAGAACGGCCCCUCUCGACCCCAUGAGAAAGGGUCCCUGCGGCCUCCAGGCUGCGCCCACGUGCACGCGGGGUCGUCACCCCGGACGCAAGCUGUCCUGCCGGGGCGUGGGGGGCGCUUAGGGAGAGAGCCGGUCUGGGGUGGGCACCAGGCUGCGGGGAGGCUGGAUGGCGUCUGCCCCCAGGAGCUGCCCAGCCGCGCGCGCGCGCGUCAGCCCCCUUGGCAGAGCUGCGCGCCGAUGAGUGUAGCCACGCCAGAAGGACGCUGUGCUGGAGUUGGCUGGAGACAGGCUGUGGCCUUGGGCGAGGGGAGGAGGACAUUCCGGGCAGUGAAUAGAACACUUGGUCAUCCUUCCGAGAGGACAAGCAGGUGGCAGGCACGGAGCCCCCAAGUGACGGAGCGAGCAGUGGACGGCGAGGCAGAUGGGUCCUUAAAGGGUCGUUAACAUCUUAUGUGUCAGCUUCCAGCACUCCGGAAUUGCUCCCUCAAGGCCUUCCUUCAGUAGAUGAAAAACUCCCUUCAGACUGGAAGCACUAUCGAGACCGCUGUUAACGCGGUACCUGCACAGAUGAAGUGCUAAGUAAAUACAAGAUGAAGGAAAGACCUCCAGAGAAAGGAAGGAUGAUACUGGACUGUUUCAUUUUCAGUACUGGAAAGACACUGGGCAGUGUAGUUGGAUUAAGACGGGGCUGGAGACCAGCAUAUAGGCUAAUCUCUGCAGUCCUUGUGAACUGCCACUUUUCUUUCCCAUACUAUGUUCAUAUCUUAAGAAAAUUGUGCUUGCCUCCCUUUCCCCACUAUUCCCUCACCAGGUUCUGGGCACAUAUUCUUCAUAUUUUAGCUUGGGCAUUGCCAAGAGAAAAUCCCUCAGGCUUCCCAGAAGGAGUCAUACCCCUCCAGUGUUCCCUCCCAGCACUGUACUUACCCUUUUCUUGCAUUUACUGCUCUGCUGUAGAAUGGGUUGUUCAUUUGCAAGAACCUCUCAUUAAGAUGGUAAGCUCCUUGAAGCUGGGGGUGGGAUGUAUCUCAUCCAGUUCAUCAUUGUAUACUCCUAGCACACAAUAAAUAUUUAAUUAAUGAACAGAUUGCAGAUUUAUAAAAUAGAAUCCAUAAAACUCAGUGGCUUCCUGGUAUAAGGAGCUGAGUGAGUGAUGGUUCCACUAGCCAGAAUAAAGGCUGGGAUCUUUAUUCCCUCCUCUGAGAGGAAUGACCAUGGGGGGGAAGAUGGCCAAAUAAUGACCUGUACUAAGGUCAUAUAGCACAG